UAACCUGCCCAAGAGAUCGGGAUAACACCUGGAAACAGAUGCUAAUACCGGAUAACAACAGAUGAUGCCUAUCAACUGUUUAAAAGAUGGUUCUGCUAUCACUCUUGGAUGGACCUGCGGUGCAUUAGCUAGUUGGUAGGGUAACGGCCUACCAAGGCGAUGAUGCAUAGCCGAAUUGAGAGACUGAUCGGCCACAUUGGGACUGAGACACGGCCCAAACUCCUACGGGAGGCAGCAGAC
RNAcentral lists this ribosomal RNA (240 nucleotides) under uncultured Lactobacillus sp. RNAcentral describes it as "partial 16S ribosomal RNA". It matches the Rfam family "Bacterial small subunit ribosomal RNA", at positions 122 to 354 of the family's 1533-position model. The record is from RNAcentral. Lineage: Bacteria; Bacillati; Bacillota; Bacilli; Lactobacillales; Lactobacillaceae.